GACGAACGCUGGCGGCGUGCUUAACACAUGCAAGUCGAAUGGAAAGGCCCUGCUUUUGUGGGGUGCUCGAGUGGCGAACGGGUGAGUAACACGUGAGUAACCUGCCCUUGACUUUGGGAUAACUUCAGGAAACUGGGGCUAAUACCGGAUAGGAGCUCCUGCUGCAUGGUGGGGGUUGGAAAGUUUCGGCGGUUGGGGAUGGACUCGCGGCUUAUCAGCUUGUUGGUGGGGUAGUGGCUUACCAAGGCUUUGACGGGUAGCCGGCCUGAGAGGGUGACCGGCCACAUUGGGACUGAGAUACGGCCCAGACUCCUACGGGAGGCAGCAGUGGGGAAUAUUGCACAAUGGGCGGAAGCCUGAUGCAGCAACGCCGCGUGCGGGAUGACGGACUUCGGGUUGUAAACCGCUUUCGCCUGUGACGAAGCGUGAGUGACGGUAAUGGGUAAAGAAGCACCGGCUAACUACGUGC
Molecule: ribosomal RNA, 469 nt
Filed under: uncultured bacterium
Lineage: Bacteria
Description: partial 16S ribosomal RNA
Rfam family: Bacterial small subunit ribosomal RNA
Source: RNAcentral